GGUGGCUCUGUGGUAGAGCACUUGCCUUGCAUGCAUGAGGCCUUGGGUUCCAUUCCUCAGCACCA
Molecule: transfer RNA, 65 nt
Filed under: Dipodomys ordii (Ord's kangaroo rat)
Lineage: Eukaryota; Metazoa; Chordata; Mammalia; Rodentia; Heteromyidae
Rfam family: tRNA
About the family: Transfer RNA (tRNA) molecules are approximately 80 nucleotides in length. Their secondary structure includes four short double-helical elements and three loops (D, anti-codon, and T loops). Further hydrogen bonds mediate the characteristic L-shaped molecular structure. tRNAs have two regions of fundamental functional importance: the anti-codon, which is responsible for specific mRNA codon recognition, and the 3' end, to which the tRNAs corresponding amino acid is attached (by aminoacyl-tRNA synthetases). tRNAs cope with the degeneracy of the genetic code in two manners: having more than one tRNA (with a specific anti-codon) for a particular amino acid; and 'wobble' base-pairing, i.e. permitting non-standard base-pairing at the 3rd anti-codon position.
Source: Rfam by way of RNAcentral